GACGAACGCUGGCGGCGUGCUUAACACAUGCAAGUCGAACGAAGUGGCGAACGGGUGAGUAACGCGUAAUCAACCUGCCCUUCAGAGGGGGACAACAAUUGGAAACGACUGCUAAUACCGCAUACUGAAGGAGGGGAUUGCGUUUGAUUAGCUAGUUGGAGGGGUAACGGCCCACCAAGGCGAUGAUCAGUAGCCGGGCUGAGAGGAUGGACGGCCACAUUGGGACUGGGGAAAGGCCCAGACUUCUACGGGAGGGAGCAGUGGGGAAUCUUCCGCAAUGGACGAAAGGCUGAAGGAGCAACGCCGCGGUAGUGAUGACGGCCUUCGGGUUGUAAAGGUCUGUUAAUCGGGACGCGGUACCGGAAGAGAAAGCCACGGCUAACUACGUGCCAGCCGCCGCGGUAAUUC
This 408-nucleotide ribosomal RNA is filed under the name uncultured bacterium. RNAcentral describes it as "partial 16S ribosomal RNA". It matches the Rfam family "Bacterial small subunit ribosomal RNA", at positions 28 to 526 of the family's 1533-position model. The record is from RNAcentral.